Molecule: ribosomal RNA, 332 nt
Filed under: Cyrtocarenum cunicularium
Lineage: Eukaryota; Metazoa; Arthropoda; Arachnida; Araneae; Ctenizidae
Description: partial 12S ribosomal RNA
Source: RNAcentral
AAAGGUAAUACUUUUAGGAAACCUUUAUCCUUUGGCGGCCUUUUUUCUUAUCAGAGGAAUUCGUCUUCUAACCGAUAUUACCCGAUUAUUUUCCCUCUCUUCUACUCUUUUAUACCGCCGUCUAAAUAAUACAUUUAAAACUCUAUUUGCAAUAAUAUUUUCUAAGUCAGGUCAAGGUGAAGAUAUAAGAAAGACUAGAUAAAUUACUCAUUCAUAUUACUAAUGAAUUUUUAUCUAAAGCCUAAAAUGAAACAGGAUUUGAAAGUAGGAGGGAUAAAAUAAAAAUUCCAUCCGAACUAGCGUUUAGGUGUACACAUCGCCCGUCGCUCUUA